RNAcentral lists this ribosomal RNA (497 nucleotides) under uncultured bacterium. RNAcentral describes it as "partial 16S ribosomal RNA". It matches the Rfam family "Bacterial small subunit ribosomal RNA", at positions 28 to 507 of the family's 1533-position model. The record is from RNAcentral.
GAUGAACGCUGGCGGCGUGCCUAAUACAUGCAAGUCGAGCGAACGGACGAGAAGCUUGCUUCUCUGAUGUUAGCGGCGGACGGGUGAGUAACACGUGGAUAACCUACCUAUAAGACUGGGAUAACUUCGGGAAACCGGAGCUAAUACCGGAUAAUAUCUUGAACCGCAUGGUUCAAAAGUGAAAGACGGUCUUUCUGUCACUUAUAGAUGGAUCCGCGCUGCAUUAGCUAGUUGGUAAGGUAACGGCUUACCAAGGCAACGAUGCAUAGCCGACCUGAGAGGGUGAUCGGCCACACUGGAACUGAGACACGGUCCAGACUCCUACGGGAGGCAGCAGUAGGGAAUCUUCCGCAAUGGGCGAAAGCCUGACGGAGCAACGCCGCGUGAGUGAUGAAGGUCUUCGGAUCGUAAAACUCUGUUAUUAGGGAAGAACAUAUGUGUAAGUAACUGUGCACAUCUUGACGGUACCUAAUCAGAAAGCCACGGCUAACUACGUG